RNAcentral lists this ribosomal RNA (379 nucleotides) under uncultured bacterium. Its description in RNAcentral is "bacterial SSU rRNA". It matches the Rfam family "Bacterial small subunit ribosomal RNA", at positions 523 to 898 of the family's 1533-position model. The record is from RNAcentral.
AUACGUAGGUGGCGAGCGUUGUCCGGAAUUACUGGGCGUAAAGGGCGCGUAGGCGGCCUGUCAAGUCAGAUGUGAAAUCCCCGGGCUUAACCCGGGAACUGCAUUUGAAACUGGCGGGCUUGAGGGCAGGAGAGGAAAGCGGAACUCCCAGUGUAGCGGUGAAAUGCGUAGAUAUUGGGAGGAACACCAGUGGCGAAGGCGGCUUUCUGGACUGUCACUGACGCUGAGGCGCGAAAGCCAGGGGAGCGAACGGGAUUAGAUACCCGGGUAGUCCUGGCCGUAAACGAUGUGGACUUGGUGUUGGGAUGGCUCCGAGCUGCCCAGUGCCGAAGGGAAGCUGUUAAGUCCACCGCCUGGGAGGUACGGUCGCAAGGCUGAA